GCUACGGGAGGCAGCAGUGAGGAAUAUUGGUCAAUGGGCGCGAGCCUGAACCAGCCAAGUAGCGUGAAGGAUGACUGCCCUACGGGUUGUAAACUUCUUUUAUAAAGGAAUAAAGUGAGGCACGUGUGCCUUUUUGUAUGUACUUUAUGAAUAAGGAUCGGCUAACUCCGUGCCAGCAGCCGCGGUAAUUCGGAGGAUCCGAGCGUUAUCCGGGUGUAUUUGGUUUAAAUGGGUCGUAGAUGGGUUGUUAAGUCAGUUGUGAAAGUUUGCGGCUCAACCGUAAAAUUGCAAUUGAUACUGGCAGUCUUGAGUACAGUGGAGGUAGGCGGAAUUCGUGGUGUAGCGGUGAAAUGCUUAGAUAUCACGAAGAACUCCGAUUGCGAAGGCAGCUUACUAAACUGCCACUGACAUUGAUGCUCGAAAGUGUGGGUAUCAAACAGGAUUAGAUACCCGGGUAGUC
Molecule: ribosomal RNA, 460 nt
Filed under: uncultured bacterium
Lineage: Bacteria
Description: partial 16S ribosomal RNA
Rfam family: Bacterial small subunit ribosomal RNA
Source: RNAcentral